CAAUAGCAUAUAUUAACGUUGUUGCAGUUGAAAAGCUCGUAGUUGAACUUUUGGUAGGAGCGACCUGGCCUUGGGCGCAUGUCCUUGUUUGCCGUGUGUCGUGUCUGGCCAUCCUUUUCUUCUUUUUGGAAGGAAUCUUUUACUGUGAGUAAACUGGAGUGCUCAAAACAAGACGUUUGUUUGGUACAUUAAAGCAUGGAAUAAUAAGAUAGGACCUGGUUACUAUUUUGUUGGUUUGCAUAGCUAGGUAAUGAUUAACAGGGACAGUUGGGGGUAUUCGUAUUUAAUUGUCAGAGGUGAAAUUCUUGGAUUUAUGAAAGACGAACGACUGCGAAAGCAUUUACCAAGGAUGUUUUCAUNAA
This 362-nucleotide ribosomal RNA is filed under the name uncultured eukaryote. Its description in RNAcentral is "partial 18S ribosomal RNA". It matches the Rfam family "Eukaryotic small subunit ribosomal RNA", at positions 592 to 976 of the family's 1831-position model. The record is from RNAcentral.